This 548-nucleotide long non-coding RNA is filed under the name Cottoperca gobio. RNAcentral describes it as "lncRNA (ENSCGOG00000006310.1)". Lineage: Eukaryota; Metazoa; Chordata; Actinopteri; Perciformes; Bovichtidae. The record is from RNAcentral.
CUAAUCGCCUCAGCUGUGUGUAUGCGUGUGUGUGUACAAGCACCACUGCGUCAGGCAAUUUUUAUGCUUUUUCACACAUACUGUGUUUCUGCACGUGCACAUGUGCCACAGUGUUUGCGUGUCCUGGUUUAUGUGGUAUCAGUGUCAGCUAUGGCGACCCAGGCUGACCUCGCUCCAGUCAGAGGAGCUGAAGGACGAGGAGGGGGAGAAGGGAGCGUACCUGUCAGGGUGGAGUUCACAGAACACAGCCUUACCUACAUGGACAGAUUGCUUCUCAAGAAGCACCGCAGGAUGCCAAUCGAAACUUAUCGUCCAUCGUUGGCCUUUGGUACGGAUUUAAAAUCACCACCUAAAACAAAUACUGGGGAGGAGACUGCAAGCCUAACAGCUCAGGAGGAGGAUUUUCUUCGCUACUGUGCAUCAUUGUUUGCUGUCCCUGUCAGCAGCGGCAGGACUGAGCCUCAGAUUACUAAACCUGAAUCGUGCCUGGUCAUAGAAGUUCUGGAUGAGGUGAGAAGGACCGAAGCGUUUCAUUUGAACAAACGUGA